RNAcentral lists this long non-coding RNA (481 nucleotides) under Lupinus mutabilis. Its description in RNAcentral is "partial ncRNA". Lineage: Eukaryota; Viridiplantae; Streptophyta; Magnoliopsida; Fabales; Fabaceae. The record is from RNAcentral.
GUUUGUUAAAACCUUAAUUUUCUUUGCUUCUAUCUUCACAGCGCUGUCUUUGUUAACUAAGGAAGGCACAUUGCGCUGUUUUUAUGUUGUGUUGUUAUGUUGCGCUAUUGUUAUGUUGCGUUGUCUUUAUGUUGCGCUAUUGUUAUGUUGUGCUGUUGUUAUAUUGCGCUGUCUUUAUAUUGCGCUGUUAUGUUGCGCUGUCUUUAUGUUGCGCUGUUGUUAUGUUGUGCUGUCUUUAUGUUGCGCUAUUAUGUUGCAUUGUCUUUAUGUUGUGCUGUCUUAUAUUGCGCUGUUUUAUAUUGCGCUGUCUUUUUCUGUAUAUGGUUGGUAGGCCAUCCGUUAUGUCACUUUGGCCAAUCUUUCCCUUCUUGGUUUUCUUUUGUAGUUUUCUUUUUCUUUAUUAUCGUUGGAAAUGGUUAGUAUUGUUUUGGUUGAAUGUUUCUAUAUAUAGAAACAAUUCUAACCAGCCAAUAACUUAACA